GAUGAACGCUGGCGGCGUGCCUAAUACAUGCAAGUCGAGCGAACAGACGAGGAGCUUGCUCCUCUGACGUUAGCGGCGGACGGGUGAGUAACACGUGGAUAACCUACCUAUAAGACUGGGAUAACUUCGGGAAACCGGAGCUAAUACCGGAUAAUAUAUUGAACCGCAUGGUUCAAUAGUGAAAGACGGUUUUGCUGUCACUUAUAGAUGGAUCCGCGCCGCAUUAGCUAGUUGGUAAGGUAACGGCUUACCAAGGCGACGGUGCAUAGCCGACCUGAGAGGGUGAUCGGCCACACUGGAACUGAGACACGGUCCAGACUCCUACGGGAGGCAGCAGUAGGGAAUCUUCCGCAAUGGGCGAAAGCCUGACGGAGCAACGCCGCGUGAGUGAUGAAGGUCUUCGGAUCGUAAAACUCUGUUAUUAGGGAAGAACAAAUGUGUAAGUAACUAUGCACGUCUUGACGGUACCUAAUCAGAAAGCCACGGCUAACUACGUG
This 497-nucleotide ribosomal RNA is filed under the name uncultured bacterium. RNAcentral's name for it is "partial 16S ribosomal RNA". It matches the Rfam family "Bacterial small subunit ribosomal RNA", at positions 28 to 507 of the family's 1533-position model. The record is from RNAcentral.